This 118-nucleotide transfer RNA is filed under the name Pseudolabrys sp. RNAcentral describes it as "tRNA-Met". Lineage: Bacteria; Pseudomonadati; Pseudomonadota; Alphaproteobacteria; Hyphomicrobiales; Xanthobacteraceae. The record is from RNAcentral.
GAGCCCGUCGCGAACUCGCUUAGAACGCAACGAAAAGUCAAUAAAAGCAGGUGCUAACGCCAAACCGCCACCGCUCAUAACGGUCUGGUUGCAGGUUCGAGUCCUGCCGGGCCCACCA